GGUUAAGCGACUAAGCGUACACGGUGGAUGCCCUGGCAGUCAGAGGCGAUGAAGGGCGUGCUAAUCUGCGAUAAGCGCCGGUAAGGUGAUAUGAACCGUUAUAACCGGCGAUACCCGAAUGGGGAAACCCAGUGUGAUUCGUCACACUAUCAUUAACUGAAUCCAUAGGUUAAUGAGGCGAACCGGGGGAACUGAAACAUCUAAGUACCCCGAGGAAAAGAAAUCAACCGAGAUUCCCCCAGUAGCGGCGAGCGAACGGGGAGGAGCCCAGAGCCUGAAUCAGCAUGUGUGUUAGUGGAAGCGUCUGGAAAGGCGCGCGAUACAGGGUGACAGCCCCGUACACAAAAGCGCAUGUGCUGUGAGCUCGAUGAGUAGGGCGGGACACGUGGUAUCCUGUCUGAAUAUGGGGGGACCAUCCUCCAAGGCUAAAUACUCCUGACUGACCGAUAGUGAACCAGUACCGUGAGGGAAAGGCGAAAAGAACCCCGGCGAGGGGAGUGAAAAAGAACCUGAAACCGUGUACGUACAAGCAGUGGGAGCACAGGUUUACCUGUGUGACUGCGUACCUUUUGUAUAAUGGGUCAGCGACUUAUAUUCUGUAGCAAGGUUAACCGAAUAGGGGAGC
This 625-nucleotide ribosomal RNA is filed under the name Salmonella enterica subsp. enterica serovar Berta. Its description in RNAcentral is "partial 23S ribosomal RNA". It matches the Rfam family "Bacterial large subunit ribosomal RNA", at positions 1 to 666 of the family's 2925-position model. The record is from RNAcentral. RNAcentral also lists the same sequence under 3 other names. Lineage: Bacteria; Pseudomonadati; Pseudomonadota; Gammaproteobacteria; Enterobacterales; Enterobacteriaceae.